UGGAUCAAUGAUGAGUAUCGGUGGAGGUAUCUGAAUCCCCACCCUGGAUGCAGCCCGCUGUGUGGCUCUGAGGUCCAU
This is a small nucleolar RNA of Suricata suricatta (meerkat), 78 nucleotides long. Ensembl annotates it as small nucleolar RNA, C/D box 113-5. Lineage: Eukaryota; Metazoa; Chordata; Mammalia; Carnivora; Herpestidae. The record is from Ensembl.